AACGAACGCUGGCGGCAGGCCUAACACAUGCCAGUCGAGCGCGCCCUUCGGGGUGAGCGGCGGACGGGUGAGUAACGCGUGGGAACGUGCCCUUUUCUACGGAAUAGCCUCGGGAAACUGAGAGUAAUACCGUAUACGCCCUUUGGGGGAAAGAUUUAUCGGAAAAGGAUCGGCCCGCGUUGGAUUAGGUAGUUGGUGGGGUAAUGGCCUACCAAGCCGACGAUCCAUAGCUGGUUUGAGAGGAUGAUCAGCCACACUGGGACUGAGACACGGCCCAGACUCCUACGGAGGGCAGAAGUGGGGAUUCUUGAACAUGGGGGGCAACCCUAACCUGGCAAGGCGGGGUGGGUAAUAAGGCCCUAGGGUUGUAAAGCUCUUUCAGCUGGGAAGAUAAUGACGGUACCAGCAGAAGAAGCCCCGGCUAACUCCGUG
This 432-nucleotide ribosomal RNA is filed under the name uncultured bacterium. Its description in RNAcentral is "partial 16S ribosomal RNA". It matches the Rfam family "Bacterial small subunit ribosomal RNA", at positions 29 to 507 of the family's 1533-position model. The record is from RNAcentral.